RNAcentral lists this non-coding RNA (797 nucleotides) under Pongo abelii (Sumatran orangutan). The record is from RNAcentral. Lineage: Eukaryota; Metazoa; Chordata; Mammalia; Primates; Hominidae.
CAAUUUUUAAAAAUGCACAAGUUAUAAAUACAGAAGAAAGAGCAACCCACCAAACCCUAACAAGGACCCCAGAACACUUUCAUACUAAGACUGUAAGUAGAUCUCAGUUCCGCGUUUAUUGUAAGUUGAUAAAAACAUCUGGAAGAAAAUGACUAAAACUGUUUGCAUCUUUGUAUGUAUUUAUUACUUGAUGUAAUAAAGCUUAUUUUCAUUAACAAUUUGUAUUAAAAUGUGGGUUCCUUGAAUUCUUACGUGCUGUUUUAUUUUUUUGAGACAGGGUCUUGUUUUGCCACCCAGGCUGGAGUGCAGUAAUGUAAUCUUGGCUCACCGCAGCCUCAACCUCCUGGGCUCAAGCAAUCCUCUCACCUCAGCCUCCCUAGUGGCUGGAACUACAGAAAGGGUACACUCGCCAGCAGUUUUGCCACGAGAGUACACCAAACAAAGAGACAGGGUCAUUUGUAACCUGACGCAUCCACCCUACUGCUGUGUCUGGUUUCCAUUGGCUGGAACGGGACCUCACAUUCUGUAUUUGUCCUGAAUGGCGAGCAACUUAAAACUUUUUAAAAGAAGCAAAGGCAGAGGAGAACAAAGGAAGGAGAAAGUAACUUGUGGAAUGGUGAGAAAGGCAUGAGGUGAAUUCUCAGCCGUGACAAGGCUAAAGGCCAGCAGGAACAGGCUCUAGCGAAAUGGGUGCUGUGUCCCCUUCCUGUAUGUGGCAGAAAGUUGCAAAGGUAUGAGAGAGGAGACAAACGGAAACCAUUCUCCCUCAUCUCCAGCUCCAAAUUUCCCUUCCCACU